RNAcentral lists this ribosomal RNA (253 nucleotides) under uncultured bacterium. RNAcentral's name for it is "partial 16S ribosomal RNA". It matches the Rfam family "Bacterial small subunit ribosomal RNA", at positions 524 to 776 of the family's 1533-position model. The record is from RNAcentral.
UACAGAGGUCCCGAGCGUUGUUCGGAUUUAUUGGGCGUAAAGGGUGCGUAGGCGGCGGAGUAAGUUGGGUGUGAAAUCCCGGGGCUCAACCUCGGAAUUGCAUUCAAUACUGCUUCGCUCGAGUACUGGAGAGGAGGCUGGAAUUUACGGUGUAGCAGUGAAAUGCGUAGAUAUCAGGAGGAACACCGGUGGCGAAGGCGGUUCUCUGGGCAUUACCUGACGCUGAGGAGCGAAAGUGUGGGGAGCGAACAGG